UCCGUAGGUGGCAAGCGUUGUCCGGAUUUACUGGGCGUAAAGAGCGCGCAGGCGGUCGAUUUAGUCGCGUGUGAAAGCCCCCGGCUCAACUGGGGAGGGUCACGCGAUACUGCUCGACUCGAAGGCAGGAGAGGGUAGUGGAAUUCCCGGUGUAGUGGUGAAAUGCGUAGAUAUCGGGAGGAACACCAGUGGCGAAGGCGACUACCUGGACUGUUCUUGACGCUGAGGCGCGAAAGCUAGGGGAGCAAACGGG
Molecule: ribosomal RNA, 253 nt
Filed under: uncultured bacterium
Lineage: Bacteria
Description: partial 16S ribosomal RNA
Rfam family: Bacterial small subunit ribosomal RNA
Source: RNAcentral